This 338-nucleotide transfer-messenger RNA is filed under the name Caldalkalibacillus horti. It matches the Rfam family "transfer-messenger RNA". Rfam says of the family: Bacterial tmRNA, also known as 10Sa RNA or SsrA, is named for its dual tRNA and mRNA-like properties. Its role is to liberate the mRNA from a stalled ribosome. Lineage: Bacteria; Bacillati; Bacillota; Bacilli; Caryophanales; Bacillaceae. The record is from RNAcentral.
UUUGGAUUCGACGGGAAUAGUUCGAGCUUUAGUGGCGAGUCGAGGGGUCGGCCUCGUAAAAACGCACCGCCAAUAAUAACUGGCAAACAAAACAACAACUUCGCUUUAGCAGCGUAAGCUAGCUAGCGGCUCUUUCCAUCAAUCGCCCAUGUUGCUGGAGUAGAGCUCAAUCUUAGUGGGAUGCGGUCAUCGUUCUCCAUCUGUGGAUGAUGAUCUAAGGUAAUCAGAUUAGCCUUUAGGCUUGCCUGUCGUUGGGCGUACCUUUAGGCGAAACUCAAAUACGACGACUACACUCGUAGAAGCUAUUGUUACGUUAUUUUCGGACGUGGGUUCGAUUA